GACGAACGCUGGCGGCGUGCCUAAUACAUGCAAGUCGAACGCAUUUUCUUUCACCGUAGCUUGCUACACCGAAAGAAAAUGAGUGGCGAACGGGUGAGUAACACGUGGGUAACCUGCCCAUCAGCGGGGGAUAACACUUGGAAACAGGUGCUAAUACCGCAUAAUUCCAUUUACCACAUGGUAGAUAGAUGAAAGGCGCUUUUGCGUCACUGAUGGAUGGACCCGCGGUGCAUUAGCUAGUUGGUGGGGUAACGGCCUACCAAGGCUGCGAUGCAUAGCCGACCUGAGAGGGUGAUCGGCCACACUGGGACUGAGACACGGCCCAGACUCCUACGAGAGGCAGCAGUAGGGAAUCUUCGGCAAUGGACGCAAGUCUGACCGAGCAACGCCGCGUGAGUGAAGAAGGUUUUCGGAUCGUAAAACUCUGUUGUUAGAAAAGAACAAGGAUGAGAGUGGAAAGUUCAUCCCUUGACGGUAUCUAACCAGAAAGCCACGGCUAACUACGUG
Molecule: ribosomal RNA, 507 nt
Filed under: uncultured bacterium
Lineage: Bacteria
Description: partial 16S ribosomal RNA
Rfam family: Bacterial small subunit ribosomal RNA
Source: RNAcentral